UGCAAGUCGAACGAGAAUCUUCGGAUUCUAGUGGCGGACGGGUGAGUAACGCGUAAGAAUCUAACUUCAGGACGGGGACAACAGUUGGAAACGACUGCUAAUACCCGAUGUGCCGCAAGGUGAAAACUAAUUGGCCUGAAGAAGAGCUUGCGUCUGAUUAGCUAGUUGGUGGGGUAAGAGCCUACCAAGGCGACGAUCAGUAGCUGGUCUGAGAGGAUGAGCAGCCACACUGGGACUGAGACACGGCCCAGACUCCUACGGGAGGCAGCAGUGGGGAAUUUUCCGCAAUGGGCGAAAGCCUGACGGAGCAACGCCGCGUGAGGGAGGAAGGUCUUUGGAUUGUAAACCUCUUUUCUCAAGGAAGAAGUUCUGACGGUACUUGAGGAAUCAGCCUCGGCUAACUCCGUGCCAGCAGGCGCGGUAAUACGGGGGAGGCAAGCGUUAUCCGGAAUUAUUGGGCGUAAAGCGUCCGCAGGUGGUCGGCCAAGUCUGCCGUCAAAUCAGGUUGCUUAACGACCUAAAGGCGGUGGAAACUGGCAGACUAGAGAGCAGUAGGGGUAGCAGGAAUUCCCAGUGUAGCGGUGAAAUGCGUAGAGAUUGGGAAGAACAUCGGUGGCGAAAGCGUGCUACUGGGCUGUAUCUGACACUCAGGGACGAAAGCUAGGGGAGCGAAAGGGAUUAGAUACCCCUGUAGUCCUAG
Molecule: ribosomal RNA, 700 nt
Filed under: uncultured bacterium
Lineage: Bacteria
Description: bacterial SSU rRNA
Rfam family: Bacterial small subunit ribosomal RNA
Source: RNAcentral